GCAUACCGCCCUGGAGGGGAAAGCUCCGGCGCUUAGAGAUUGGUGUGCCGUCCGAUUAGCUAGUUGGUGGGGUAACGGCUCACCAAGGCGACGAUCGGGUAGGGGGUGUGAGAGCAUCGACCCCCCACACGGGUACUGAGACACGGACCCGACUCCUACGGGAGGCAGCAGUAAGGAAUAUUGGACAAUGGAGGGAACUCUGAUCCAGCCAUGCCGCGUGAAGGAUGAAGGCGCUCAGCGUUGUAAACUUCUUUUGGAUGGGAACAAUAACUUCUACGUGUAGGAGCUUGAGGGUACCAUCAGAAUAAGCACCGGCUAACUCCGUG
Molecule: ribosomal RNA, 326 nt
Filed under: uncultured bacterium
Lineage: Bacteria
Description: bacterial SSU rRNA
Rfam family: Bacterial small subunit ribosomal RNA
Source: RNAcentral